Molecule: non-coding RNA, 944 nt
Filed under: Musca domestica (house fly)
Lineage: Eukaryota; Metazoa; Arthropoda; Insecta; Diptera; Muscidae
Description: Eukaryotic small subunit ribosomal RNA
Rfam family: Eukaryotic small subunit ribosomal RNA
Source: Rfam by way of RNAcentral
GAUUGGACCGAUAUAUUCCAUAUUCUACCAGAACUUGGGUUAAUAAAAAUAUUGUGAUUUGAAGACAAUCGCACUGUUACAUCGCUUUUUAUAAGAGUCGUAGUUAUUCAAACUUUUGACCUUAAUGGAGUGGCCCGAUUGACCGUCAAUUGACCGUCACCGAAUGUGAAAUAAAAUAUUCGCCUGGCCCGCCUUUUAAUACUGUACUGUUACCGGCUUGUCGAUACCACAUGUCAUGCAGCUCUAAGCUCAUGCAGCUCUAAUCAAGAACGAAAGUUAGAGGUUCGAAGGCGAUCAGAUACCGCCCUAGUUCUAACCAUAAACGAUGCCAGCUANCAAUUGGGUGUAGCUACUAUCAUGGCUCUCUCAUUCGCUUCCCGGGAAACCAAAGCUUUUGGGCUCCGGGGGAAGUAUGGUUGCAAAGCUGGUUCGUGGAGUUAUUUGUCUGGUUAAUUCCGAUAACGAACGAGACUCAACUAUAUUAAAUAGAUGCUUUCAGGAUUUUGGUGUAGAACCUUUUAUAGCCUUCAUCUGCGACAGCAGUAAAAUGCGUUAGUGGUUAAAUGUGCUUAUAGAAGUGGAGCCGUACCUGUUGGUUUGUCCCAUUAUAAGGACACUAGCUUCUUAAAUGGACAAAUUGCGUCUAGCAAUAAUGAGAUUGAGCAAUAACAGGUCUGUGAUGCCCUUAGAUGCUACAAUGAAAGUAUCAACGUGUAUUUCCUAGACCGAGAGGUCCGGGUAAACCGCUGAACCACUUUCAUGCUUGGGAUUGUGAACUGGAACUGUUCACAUGAACUUAGAAUUCCCAGUAAGUGUGAGUCAUUAACUCGCAUUGAUUACGUCCCUGCCCUUUGUACACACCGCCCGUCGCCCCUUAUUUUAGUUAUUGAGAUGAUGAAAUGCGAUCCAGCUACCUUGGGUUUUGUAGUGCGAUGUGUUCACUU